RNAcentral lists this ribosomal RNA (468 nucleotides) under uncultured bacterium. RNAcentral describes it as "partial 16S ribosomal RNA". It matches the Rfam family "Bacterial small subunit ribosomal RNA", at positions 28 to 507 of the family's 1533-position model. The record is from RNAcentral.
GACGAACGCUGGCGGCGUGCUUAACACAUGCAAGUCGAACGGAAAGGCCCUGCUUUUGUGGGGUGCUCGAGUGGCGAACGGGUGAGUAACACGUGAGUAACCUGCCCUUGACUUUGGGAUAACUUCAGGAAACUGGGGCUAAUACCGGAUAGGAGCUCCUGCUGCAUGGUGGGGGUUGGAAAGUUUCGGCGGUUGGGGAUGGACUCGCGGCUUAUCAGCUUGUUGGUGGGGUAGUGGCUUACCAAGGCUUUGACGGGUAGCCGGCCUGAGAGGGUGACCGGCCACAUUGGGACUGAGAUACGGCCCAGACUCCUACGGGAGGCAGCAGUGGGGAAUAUUGCACAAUGGGCGGAAGCCUGAAGCAGCAACGCCGCGUGCGGGAUGACGGCCUUCGGGUUGUAAACCGCUUUCGCCUGUGACGAAGCGUGAGUGACGGUAAUGGGUAAAGAAGCACGGGCUAAGUACGUG